UACGGGGGGAGCAAGCGUUGUUCGGAAUUACUGGGCGUAAAGCGCACGUAGGCGGCUUUGUAAGUUAGAGGUGAAAGCCCAGGGCUCAACCCUGGAAUUGCCUUUAAGACUGCAUCGCUAGAAUUGUGGAGAGGUAAGUGGAAUUCCGAGUGUAGAGGUGAAAUUCGUAGAUAUUCGGAAGAACACCAGUGGCGAAGGCGACUUACUGGACACAUAUUGACGCUGAGGUGCGAAAGCGUGGGGAGCAAACAGG
RNAcentral lists this ribosomal RNA (253 nucleotides) under uncultured bacterium. RNAcentral describes it as "partial 16S ribosomal RNA". It matches the Rfam family "Bacterial small subunit ribosomal RNA", at positions 524 to 776 of the family's 1533-position model. The record is from RNAcentral.